UACGAAGGGGGCUAGCGUUGUUCGGAAUCACUGGGCGUAAAGCGCACGCAGGCGGAUUGAUAAGUCGGGGGUGAAAGCCUGUGGCUCAACCACAGAAUUGCCUUCGAUACUGUCGAGCUUGAGACCGGAAGAGGUAAGUGGAACUGCGAGUGUAGAGGUGAAAUUCGUAGAUAUUCGCAAGAACACCAGUGGCGAAGGCGGCUUACUGGUCCGGUACUGACGCUGAGGCGCGAAAGCGUGGGGAGCAAACAGG
RNAcentral lists this ribosomal RNA (253 nucleotides) under uncultured bacterium. RNAcentral's name for it is "partial 16S ribosomal RNA". It matches the Rfam family "Bacterial small subunit ribosomal RNA", at positions 524 to 776 of the family's 1533-position model. The record is from RNAcentral.